AACGAACGCUGGCGGCAUGCCUAACACAUGCGAGUCGAACGAGAUCUUCGGGUCUAGUGGCGCACGGGUGCGUAACGCGUGGGAAUCUGCCCUUUGGUUCGGAAUAACAGUUGGAAACGACUGCUAAUACCGGAUGAUGACGAAAGUCCAAAGAUUUAUCGCCAGAGGAUGAGCCCGCGUAGGAUUAGCUAGUUGGUGUGGUAAAGGCGCACCAAGGCGACGUUCCUUAGCUGGUCUGAGAGGAUGAUCAGCCACACUGGGACUGAGACACGGCCCAGACUCCUACGGGAGGCAGCAGUGGGGAAUAUUGGACAAUGGGCGAAAGCCUGAUCCAGCAAUGCCGCGUGAGUGAUGAAGGCCUUAGGGUUGUAAAGCUCUUUUACCCGGGAUGAUAAUGACAGUACCGGGAGAAUAAGCUCCGGCUAACUCCGUGCCAGCCGCCGCGGUAA
Molecule: ribosomal RNA, 449 nt
Filed under: uncultured bacterium
Lineage: Bacteria
Description: partial 16S ribosomal RNA
Rfam family: Bacterial small subunit ribosomal RNA
Source: RNAcentral